UACGGAGGGAGCUAGCGUUGUUCGGAAUUACUGGGCGUAAAGCGCACGUAGGCGGCUAUUCAAGUCAGAGGUGAAAGCCCGGGGCUCAACCCCGGAACUGCCUUUGAUACUGAGAAGCUUGAGUCCGGGAGAGGUGAGUGGAACUGCGAGUGUAGAGGUGAAAUUCGUAGAAUAUUCGCAAGAACACCAGUGGCGAAGGCGGCUCACUGGCCCGGUACUGACGCUGAGGUGCGAAAGCGUGGGAGCAAACAGG
RNAcentral lists this ribosomal RNA (253 nucleotides) under uncultured bacterium. Its description in RNAcentral is "partial 16S ribosomal RNA". It matches the Rfam family "Bacterial small subunit ribosomal RNA", at positions 524 to 776 of the family's 1533-position model. The record is from RNAcentral.